CUUCAGACUGAGUGUCUUAUUCCGUCUUUACCUGCGUUGGCCCUGCCGACAGCUAAUCCCCCUCCGAUAGGGCCGAGAGGUUUAUCCACUGUGUUUGAAGAGUUCUCCCACAAGUCCCUCAGCGUCAUACCACUCA
Long non-coding RNA from Salarias fasciatus (jewelled blenny), 136 nucleotides. RefSeq lists it as uncharacterized. NCBI's taxonomy places the organism in Eukaryota, Metazoa, Chordata, Actinopteri, Blenniiformes, Blenniidae. The record is from RefSeq and is a predicted model, not a curated record. The transcript has 3 exons.